Molecule: transfer RNA, 79 nt
Filed under: Squalomugil nasutus (shark mullet)
Lineage: Eukaryota; Metazoa; Chordata; Actinopteri; Mugiliformes; Mugilidae
Description: tRNA-Thr
Rfam family: tRNA
About the family: Transfer RNA (tRNA) molecules are approximately 80 nucleotides in length. Their secondary structure includes four short double-helical elements and three loops (D, anti-codon, and T loops). Further hydrogen bonds mediate the characteristic L-shaped molecular structure. tRNAs have two regions of fundamental functional importance: the anti-codon, which is responsible for specific mRNA codon recognition, and the 3' end, to which the tRNAs corresponding amino acid is attached (by aminoacyl-tRNA synthetases). tRNAs cope with the degeneracy of the genetic code in two manners: having more than one tRNA (with a specific anti-codon) for a particular amino acid; and 'wobble' base-pairing, i.e. permitting non-standard base-pairing at the 3rd anti-codon position.
Source: RNAcentral
UUAGUACUAGUAGCUCAGCCACGUUCAGAGCUCCGGCCUUGUAAUCCGGCGGUCGAAGGUUAAAACCCUUCCUAUUACC